Cricetulus griseus (Chinese hamster) is the source of this 309-nucleotide unclassified non-coding RNA. Its record names the gene 7SK. It matches the Rfam family "7SK RNA". From Rfam's summary of the family: 7SK was discovered as an abundant small nuclear RNA in the mid-70s but a possible function has only recently been suggested. Two independent studies have found that 7SK RNA binds the CDK9/cyclin T complex (known as elongation factor P-TEFb). P-TEFb activates transcription by phosphorylating the C-terminal domain of RNA polymerase II. NCBI's taxonomy places the organism in Eukaryota, Metazoa, Chordata, Mammalia, Rodentia, Cricetidae. The record is from Ensembl.
GAAUGUGAGGAUGACCUGGAUGAGAUAUCUGUCACCCUGUUGAUCACCCAGGUUUAUUUGAGUGAUUUAGCUGGCUAGUUGGGUGUCAUCUUCCUCCCUCACAAUCCCUACAGAAGGUGCAUACUUUAUCAAAAAGGACAACCUUCCCUGAUAAGGAAGGACAGUCAUUUGGCCUCAGUAAGUGUAUAUGAGUUGCUGAGAUCAUCUAUAUAUGAGUUUCAUUCAACUGUAAAGGAGAAUAGAAAAAUCAUUCACAAGAAAAUAACUUGGAAGAAAAUCAUCAUGUUAUAUGAAAUAAACAAAACGGAU